AGGACGAACGCUGGCGGCGUGCUUAACACAUGCAAGUCGAACGAGAUCCAUCCGGUGGAAACACCGGAGAAGAUCUAGUGGCGAACGGGUGAGUAACACGUGAGCAACCUGCCCCGAAGACCGGGAUAACAGCGGGAAACCGCUGCUAAUACCGGAUGUCCCCACCGGACCACAUGGCCUGGUGAGGAAAUGGAUUCCGCUUCGGGAGGGGCUCGCGGCCUAUCAGCUUGUUGGUGAGGUAACGGCCCACCAAGGCGACGACGGGUAGCUGGUCUGAGAGGACGAUCAGCCACACUGGGACUGAGACACGGCCCAGACUCCUACGGGAGGCAGCAGUGGGGAAUCUUGCGCAAUGGGCGAAAGCCUGACGCAGCAACGCCGCGUGAGGGAUGAAGGCCUUCGGGUUGUAAACCGUCUUUCAAGCAGGGACGAUAAUGACGGUACCUGCAGAAGAAGCUCCGGCCAACUACGUGCCAGCAGCCGCGGU
RNAcentral lists this ribosomal RNA (487 nucleotides) under uncultured bacterium. Its description in RNAcentral is "SSU rRNA". It matches the Rfam family "Bacterial small subunit ribosomal RNA", at positions 26 to 521 of the family's 1533-position model. The record is from RNAcentral.